RNAcentral lists this ribosomal RNA (584 nucleotides) under uncultured bacterium. RNAcentral describes it as "partial 16S ribosomal RNA". It matches the Rfam family "Bacterial small subunit ribosomal RNA", at positions 355 to 1375 of the family's 1533-position model. The record is from RNAcentral.
UGGGGAAUUUUGGACAAUGGGCGAAAGCCUGAUCCAGCAAUGCCGCGUGUGUGAAGAAGGCCUUCGGGUUGUAAAGCACUUUUGUCCGGAAAGAAAUCCUUGGCUCUAAUACAGUCGGGGGAUGACGGUACCGGAAGAAUAAGCACCGGCUAACUACGUGCCAGCAGCCGCGGUAAUACGUAGGGUGCAAGCGUUAAUCGGAAUUACUGGGCGUAAAGCGUGCGCAGGCGGUUUGCUAAGACCGAUGUGGAAUCCCCGGGCUCAACCUGGGAACUGCAUUGGUGACUGGCAGGCUAGAGUAUGGCAGAGGGGGGUAGAAUUCCACGUGUAGCAGUGAAAUGCGUAGAGAUGUGGAGGAAUACCGAUGGCGAAGGCAGCCCCCUGGGCCAAUACUGACGCUCAUGCACGAAAGCGUGGGGAGCAAACAGGAUUAGAUACCCUGGUAGUCCACGCCCUAAACGAUGUCAACUAGUUGUUGGGGAUUCAUUCCUUAGUAACGUAGCUAACGCGUGAAGUUGACCGCCUGGGGAGUACGGUCGCAAGAUUAAAACUCAAAGGAAUUGACGGGGUCAUAGCUGUUUCCU